RNAcentral lists this ribosomal RNA (322 nucleotides) under uncultured eukaryote. RNAcentral's name for it is "partial 18S ribosomal RNA". It matches the Rfam family "Eukaryotic small subunit ribosomal RNA", at positions 1470 to 1796 of the family's 1831-position model. The record is from RNAcentral.
CCCUUAGAUGUUCUGGGCCGCACGCGUGCUACACUGAGUGGAUCAGCGGGUCAGGUUGCGCGAAAGUGUUUCCUAAUCUUGAAAUCCGCUCGUGAUGGGGAUUGACGGUUGCAAUUUUCCGUCAUGAACGAGGAAUACCUUGUAAGCGCGGGUCAUCAUCCCGCGCUGAAUACGUCCCUGCCCUUUGUACACACCGCCCGUCGCUCCUACCGAUUGAGUGGUCCGGUGAGGCUUUGGGAUCUGAGCAAAGAGAGCGUUUCGCUCGUUUUGCCCGGAAAACUCAGUCGAACCUUAUCAUUUAGAGGAAGGAGAAGUCGGAACA